RNAcentral lists this small RNA (355 nucleotides) under Histoplasma ohiense. Its description in RNAcentral is "hypothetical lncRNA". Lineage: Eukaryota; Fungi; Ascomycota; Eurotiomycetes; Onygenales; Ajellomycetaceae. The record is from RNAcentral.
ACUACCUAGGUGACGAUACAUAUGCCAUAUGCCAUAUGCCAUCCUCCGCUUCCGACAAGACUAUACGCUUCUCUGCGAUAGUGCUCUCGCGCGGGGCUUUGCGCCGAUGUAAAAGGCAUACAUUUGUGACUUCGUUUUAUGAAGCGUGAUAACCUUGAAACAGCCUGAAUGCAUCUCCCACGCGCCUGCGUGUAUAAGACAUAAUAACAAUAAUAGGCUCUGAGGAAAGAAUCAAGGAACGUAUUGGCUGCCAAUAUCUCCUCAACACUUCUCUCCAACACUGCCAGUGUUCAACCCCGCGAACCUCAUCCUGAACCACCAUUUGCACGCUCACAUACCAGUUUGAUACCAUGGC